CUUCGGAGCUGACGGUCGACUCUCCGCUCGGCACGAAGGAGGAUGAUGAUGAUGAGGAGGAGGAUGCCGGGGCGGGCAGCAGCGAGGAGGAAUCGGCGGGGACGGAUGCUGAGCGCCGCCGCAGCUGGAGCAGCAGCAGCAGCAGGAUGAGGAGUGAUGGAAGGAGCUGGAGGAAAAUGUUGUCAGUGCUGCACCAGAAGGUUGUAUUAGCCAGCGUUGAAGAAAAUCUGCCAGUAAACAGGAUGAGGAGCGACUGUCAGCCUGCAGAUGGAAACAAGGGUGGGUGGCUGGAAGGCUGGAUAAAGGCUGGUGGAUGACUGAACCCGGUGACCCGGUGCAGCUCAUCAUCAUUGCCGGGGGCCUCUCAUCUUCUUCCUCGUCUCCCAUGGCUCGUACCUCCAUCCAGGGGUCUAGCAGAGCCCAGCGAAGCCCAGCCGGGGAGCUAGUGAGUGGGCUGGGAAGGAUGGAGAAAGUCCCUGAAGGCAAAAAUCACCUCUGGAGCUAUCAGCGUGCUAGAGAAAUCGAUAUGAAACACAGAAUCUUCACAGCUUUGAGUGGGGUUUCCUGUGUUUUUAAGUGUGUGGCCUGGAGGCCCUGCAGACCUGCAAAGGACUUCCCCUACGUGCCUCUUUCAGCUUCAGCUCCAGCUCCUUCUCUGGACCUCAGCCCUGAUCUCCACUGCCUGUGUGUGGUUCUGCUGAAGGGUGUUUCUCCCCAAAUGGUACCCAGAGUUUUAAAAGAUCGCUCUGAGGCAUAUUCCUUUCUCUCUUUUUUUUUUUUUUUUUUUUCUCCCCCAUCACGAGAUUGACACAUCCCACCACCUUCUGCCUCUGGCAACCAGCUUGGAAGUUCUGCCUUUGACUCACUCUCCAUCUUCAGCUCAUCCACGGCUUAUUCCCCAACUAGUUUUCACAUUUGACAAACAGACACUGCGAUCUUUAUUUUCCACCUCCACUCUUGGCUCGCACUUCCAAUGAUGAGCUCCAGACAGAUGUCUUUCAAAAGCAGACACACCGGAAGAUGAUAGUUGAACUUUUUUUUUUUCCUUUUUUUUUUCCUAUCAUGCCUAUUAUUCAAUUUGAGACCAUUCACAAUAUUAACUGGCUGGAAAGAGAAGAAGACUGAAGAUCAGAAACCUUUCAGUGGAGACAGUAAAAU
Molecule: long non-coding RNA, 1158 nt
Organism: Poeciliopsis prolifica (blackstripe livebearer)
Lineage: Eukaryota; Metazoa; Chordata; Actinopteri; Cyprinodontiformes; Poeciliidae
Exons: 3
Source: RefSeq, a predicted model, not a curated record